GCCGUGGUGGCACAGUUGUUAAGUGCUUGGCUGGUAACCAAGAGGUCUGUGGUUCAAAUCCCAACACCUGCU
Molecule: transfer RNA, 72 nt
Filed under: Loxodonta africana (African savanna elephant)
Lineage: Eukaryota; Metazoa; Chordata; Mammalia; Proboscidea; Elephantidae
Rfam family: tRNA
About the family: Transfer RNA (tRNA) molecules are approximately 80 nucleotides in length.
Source: Rfam by way of RNAcentral